GACCGCGUAGCUCAGUUGGAAGAGCAUUGGGCUAGUAUUCCAAAGGUCGUAGGUUCAAAUCCCACCGUGGCUG
Paramuricea clavata is the source of this 73-nucleotide non-coding RNA. Lineage: Eukaryota; Metazoa; Cnidaria; Anthozoa; Malacalcyonacea; Plexauridae. The record is from the annotation of a GenBank genome assembly.